Molecule: transfer RNA, 87 nt
Filed under: Schwartzia succinivorans
Lineage: Bacteria; Bacillati; Bacillota; Negativicutes; Selenomonadales; Selenomonadaceae
Also listed under: 2 other names
Description: tRNA-Leu
Rfam family: tRNA
About the family: Transfer RNA (tRNA) molecules are approximately 80 nucleotides in length.
Source: RNAcentral
GCGGCUGUGGCGAAAUCGGCAGACGCGCUAGCUUCAGGAGCUAGUGAUGGCAACAUCAUGGUGGUUCAAGUCCACUCAGCCGCACCA